UGGGGAAUAUUGGACAAUGGGCGAAAGCCCGAUCCAGCCAUGCCGCGUGUGUAAAGAAGGUCUUCGGAUUGUAAAGCACUUUAAGUUGGGAGGAAGGGCAUUAACCUAAUACGUUAGUGUUUUGACGUUACCGACAGAAUAAGCACCGGCUAACUCUGUGCCAGCAGCCGCGGUAAUACAGAGGGUGCAAGCGUUAAUCGGAAUUACUGGGCGUAAAGCGCGCGUAGGUGGUUUGUUAAGUUGGAUGUGAAAUCCCCGGGCUCAACCUGGGAACUGCAUUCAAAACUGACUGACUAGAGUAUGGUAGAGGGUGGUGGAAUUUCCUGUGUAGCGGUGAAAUGCGUAGAUAUAGGAAGGAACACCAGUGGCGAAGGCGACCACCUGGACUAAUACUGACACUGAGGUGCGAAAGCGUGGGGAGCAAACA
Molecule: ribosomal RNA, 427 nt
Filed under: uncultured bacterium
Lineage: Bacteria
Description: partial 16S ribosomal RNA
Rfam family: Bacterial small subunit ribosomal RNA
Source: RNAcentral